Molecule: transfer RNA, 70 nt
Filed under: Dipodomys ordii (Ord's kangaroo rat)
Lineage: Eukaryota; Metazoa; Chordata; Mammalia; Rodentia; Heteromyidae
Rfam family: tRNA
About the family: Transfer RNA (tRNA) molecules are approximately 80 nucleotides in length.
Source: Rfam by way of RNAcentral
GGGAACAUGGCUCAAUGGUAGAGUGCUUGCCUUGCAUGCAUGAGGUCCUGGGUUCUAUUCCUUAGCCCCA